Molecule: ribosomal RNA, 646 nt
Filed under: uncultured bacterium
Lineage: Bacteria
Description: bacterial SSU rRNA
Rfam family: Bacterial small subunit ribosomal RNA
Source: RNAcentral
CGGGGCAUCCCGGAGGCAGGAAAGGCUUCGGCCGGACAGGGAUGGGCAUGCGGCGCAUUAGGCAGUAGGCGGGGUAACGGCCCACCUAACCGACGAUGCGUAGGGGUUCUGAGAGGAAGGUCCCCCACACUGGUACUGAGACACGGACCAGACUCCUACGGGAGGCAGCAGUGAGGAAUAUUGGUCAAUGGUCGGGAGACUGAACCAGCCAAGCCGCGUGAGGGAGGAAGGUACAGAGUAUCGUAAACCUCUUUUGUCAGGGAACAAAGACUGGGACGCGUCCCCGGAUGAGUGUACCUGAAGAAAAAGCAUCGGCUAACUCCGUGCCAGCAGCCGCGGUAAUACGGAGGAUGCGAGCGUUAUCCGGAUUUAUUGGGUUUAAAGGGUGCGCAGGCGGUCUGUUAAGUCAGCGGUCAAAGCCCGGGGCUCAACCCCGGCCCGCCGUUGAAACUGGCAGUCUCGAGUUGGAGAGAAGUAUGCGGAAUGCGCGGUGUAGCGGUGAAAUGCAUAGAUAUCGCGCAGAACUCCGAUUGCGAAGGCAGCAUGCCGGCUCCACACUGACGCUGAGGCACGAAAGCGUGGGUAUCGAACAGGAUUAGAUACCCUGGUAGUCCACGCAGUAAACGAUGAAUGAAGGCUGUCCGGG